This 438-nucleotide ribosomal RNA is filed under the name uncultured bacterium. RNAcentral describes it as "bacterial SSU rRNA". It matches the Rfam family "Bacterial small subunit ribosomal RNA", at positions 74 to 507 of the family's 1533-position model. The record is from RNAcentral.
GAGUAGCAAUACUUGAUGGCGACCGGCAAACGGGUGAGGAACACGUACACAACCUUCCUUCAAGCGGGGAAUAGCCCAGAGAAAUUUGGAUUAAUACCCCAUAAUAUAUUUGAUAAGGCAUCUUAUUAAUAUUAAAGCUUCGGCACUUGAUGAUGGGUGUGCGGCUGAUUAGAUAGUUGGCGGGGUAACGGCCCACCAAGUCUACGAUCAGUAGCUGAUGUGAGAGCAUGAUCAGCCACACGGGCACUGAGACACGGGCCCGACUCCUACGGGAGGCAGCAGUAAGGAAUAUUGGACAAUGGACGAAAGUCUGAUCCAGCCAUGCCCGCGUGAAGGAUUAAGGUCCUCUGGAUUGUAAACUUCUUUUAUAUGGGACGAAAAAAGGGCAUUCUUGUUCACUUGACGGUACCAUAUGAAUAAGCACCGGCUAACUCCGUG